AUUGAACGCUGGCGGCAUGCCUUACACAUGCAAGUCGAACGGCAGCAUAGGAGCUUGCUCCUGAUGGCGAGUGGCGAACGGGUGAGUAAUAUAUCGGAACGUGCCCUAGGGUGGGGGAUAACUAGUCGAAAGACUAGCUAAUACCGCAUACGAUCUACGGAUGAAAGAGGGGGAUCGCAAGACCUCAUGCUCCUGGAGCGGCCGAUAUCUGAUUAGGUAGUUGGGGGGGUAAAAGCCUACCAAAGCAACUAUCAGUAGCUUGUCUGAGAGGAAGACCAGCCGACUCGGGGCCGAGGCACAGCACGAACUACUAUGGGAGGCAGAACAAGGGAGUUCAGGAUAAUGGGGGCAACGAGGGUCAAUCAAUGCCGCGGGAAGAGAGAAGGCAUUCGGUUAUUAAAGCUCUUUUGCAAGAAUAGAAACGGAAGUAGCGAAUAACUAUGACUAAUGACGGUACCUGAGGAAUAAGCACCGGCUAACUACGUGCCAGCAGCCGCCGGAA
Molecule: ribosomal RNA, 502 nt
Filed under: uncultured bacterium
Lineage: Bacteria
Description: partial 16S ribosomal RNA
Rfam family: Bacterial small subunit ribosomal RNA
Source: RNAcentral